RNAcentral lists this ribosomal RNA (702 nucleotides) under Triticum aestivum (bread wheat). Its description in RNAcentral is "partial small subunit ribosomal RNA". Lineage: Eukaryota; Viridiplantae; Streptophyta; Magnoliopsida; Poales; Poaceae. The record is from RNAcentral.
AUGCUUGCCGCUUAUAUAAGUCCUUUUUAUCUAUGUUUUAACCCUCACCUACAUGCAGCUACCUUCAACUUUGAUGAUGAGCAUAUAAACUCGAAGAAGGAAUGCUUGAUUCCACUUAAAGAACUACUGGUUUCAACUGAUUUUUUGGCUGAUGACUGCUGUGUCUUUGGUGUGGAUAUAUUGAAAAUUGAUGCCCUUUUUCCUGAAAAGGAGGAAAUUGCGAUCCAGAAGGCUGCAACAAUUCAGAGCCUCUUCAUCCAGAAUGAUAAUUUCAUCAAAUUGACCUGCAGCGUGACGAUAAAUAACUUUCUUGAAAUGAGCAUGAUGAAAUUCGUUUGUUCAAGAUUUGAACUUGAUGGACAAAACUGGUACUUUGGCGUCUAUCCGCGAGGUAACCAGUACAGCAAUAAUUGCCUCUCCUUGUACUUGCACCUUGAUGGCUCAGAGAAGCUCCCUCAUAAGUAUGGGAAGUUGGUUGAAUUAACUUUAUCCAUAUUGGACCAAAAACAUGGAAAACACUUCAUCAGGAAAUGCCCAGGUCUCGUGGUGUUUGCUGGUAAAUCCCACUGGGGGUGGUCUGACUUCAUUCCACUUGAGACAUUCAUGAAUCCAGAGAGAGGCUAUCUUGUAGAAUCGUGCUGCAUUAUCAAGGCAGAGAUUACUAUCUUUGGAUCUUCUGAUGCGUGUCGUCUGAUGGCAUGA